This is a non-coding RNA of Mycena vulgaris, 93 nucleotides long. NCBI's taxonomy places the organism in Eukaryota, Fungi, Basidiomycota, Agaricomycetes, Agaricales, Mycenaceae. The record is from the annotation of a GenBank genome assembly.
GCCUCUGUGGAUGAAUGGAAAUCGCCUUGAUCUUGUAUGAUGUAGAGGUUUGGAUCUUGCGAGGAGAUGUGGGUUCAAAUCCCACCGGAGGCC